GUAACGAGCGCAACCCUGUCCUUAGUUUACCAGCACGUUAUGGUGGGCGACUCUAAGGAGACUGCCGGGUGGACAAACCGGAGGAAGGUGGGGAUGACGUCAAGUCAUCAUGGCCCUUACGGCCUGGGCUACACACGUGCUACAAUGGUCGGUACAAAGGGUUGCCAAGCCGCGAGGUGGAGCUAAUCCCAUAAAACCGAUCGUAGUCCGGAUCGCAGUCUGCAACUCGACUGCGUGAAGUCGGAAUCGCUAGUAAUCGUGAAUCAGAAUGUCACGGUGAAUACGUUCCCGGGCCUU
This 297-nucleotide ribosomal RNA is filed under the name uncultured Pseudomonas sp. RNAcentral's name for it is "partial 16S ribosomal RNA". It matches the Rfam family "Bacterial small subunit ribosomal RNA", at positions 1089 to 1382 of the family's 1533-position model. The record is from RNAcentral. Lineage: Bacteria; Pseudomonadati; Pseudomonadota; Gammaproteobacteria; Pseudomonadales; Pseudomonadaceae.